This 376-nucleotide ribosomal RNA is filed under the name uncultured organism. RNAcentral describes it as "partial 16S ribosomal RNA". It matches the Rfam family "Bacterial small subunit ribosomal RNA", at positions 527 to 896 of the family's 1533-position model. The record is from RNAcentral.
GUAGGUGGCAAGCGUUGUCCGGGAAUUAUUGGGGCGUAAAGCGCGCGCAGGCGGUUCUUUAAGUCUGAUGUGAAAGCCCACGGGCUCAACCGUGGGAGGGUCAUUGGAAACUGGAGAACUUGAGUACAGAAGAGGAAAGCGGAAUUCCACGUGUAGCGGUGAAAUGCGUAGAGAUGUGGAGGAACACCAGUGGCGAAGGCGGCUUUCUGGUCUGUAACUGACGCUGAGGCGCGAAAGCGUGGGGAGCAAACAGGAUUAGAUACCCUGGUAGUCCACGCCGUAAACGAUGAGUGCUAAGUGUCAGGUGGUUUCCGCCCCUUAGUGCUGCAGCUAACGCAUUAAGCACUCCGCCUGGGGAGUACGGCCGCAAAGGCUG